This 630-nucleotide ribosomal RNA is filed under the name Entamoeba coli. Its description in RNAcentral is "bacterial SSU rRNA". It matches the Rfam family "Eukaryotic small subunit ribosomal RNA", at positions 7 to 599 of the family's 1831-position model. The record is from RNAcentral. Lineage: Eukaryota; Evosea; Mastigamoebida; Endamoebidae.
GUUGAUCCUGCCAGUAUUAUAUGCUUCUGUCAAAGAUUAAGCCAUGCAUGUCUAAGCAUAAAGUCCUAGUAAGAUGAAGCUGCGAACGGCUCAUUACAACAGUUAUAAUCUUUUUGAUGAAAUACGUACAAGGAUAUCUUUGAGAAUGUCAAAGCUAAUACUUGACGGGUAACGCCUUCAGUCGAGUGUAUUCCUCCGGGAGUAUAAUCUACUGAGGAGGGGAGGACCCCAAGGUCCUUUCAAUAUAUUACCACUUCUUUGUGAAUAAGGGUGGAUUAUAUGCCAAGAGAAUUGUAGAAAUCGAGAGAUUUUCACAAGUCAUCAUUAAGAAUAUCUGACCUAUCAACUGGUUGUUGGUAAGGUAGUGGCUUACCAAGGUGAUAACGGGUAACGAGGAAUAAGGGUUCGACAUCGGAGAGGGAGCUUUAGAAAUGGCUACCACUUCUAAGGAAGGCAGCAGGCGCGAAAAUUACCCAAUCUUAACAACUGAAGGAGGUAGUGACGACAAUUAACGCUUUCCCUCGCAUUUUGUGAGGAUUGCCGGAAUGAUCACGACAUAAACCAUCGUGAGAAAGCGAUUGGAGGGCAAGUCUGGUGCCAGCAGCCGCGGUAAUUCCAGCUCCAAUAGUG